UGAUGCCCCUCGCCCACCCCUGAAGAUCCCAGGUGGGCGAGGAAAUGACCAGCGGGAUC
Molecule: non-coding RNA, 59 nt
Organism: Salmo salar (Atlantic salmon)
Lineage: Eukaryota; Metazoa; Chordata; Actinopteri; Salmoniformes; Salmonidae
Source: Rfam